AGGUUUGCAGGUGGUAACUGGGUGGAGCUGAGGGAUUUCAUGCUGCUGGCCUGAGGAAUAGUGUCAGCUCUUGUGUGUGAACUGGGAGGAAACAUGAAGAGGAUGAAAGGUCCAUACAGGAAAAGCCAGAGUCUCUCAGACUACAAAGGAAUCUGGAAGGAUUUGAUAGCUGAGGCUUUUCUUGUCGCAAGAACAAAGGGUCCUUUAGGUUUCCAAACGUCAAGUCAUCAGCUGCAAAUGUUGUUUGAAAAUGCUUGAAAAUGCAGUGUUUGAAAAUGUUGAAAAUGCAAGGUGGAGUCCGUUGGCAUCAAUCAGUCAUCGAGGAUGACCAGCUUGUUUUCUUGCUCUUCUUUCGUAUUCCUUCCCAGCAAAGCUCUGGAGGUGUCAUUAGGAGCAGUGAGCUCUUUGGAGAUGGUCUAACAGCUGCUGAGCAGGUCGGUUCUGCAUCAUUAAUUUGCUUCUCAGCUUCUCUCCCUGUCACAAACUGAGGGCAGUGAGCGGCUGCUCAGCAGAUAAAGUACCUACUGGGGGUCCUGGUACAACCCCAAGAAGCCCCGCACCAAGGCAGGAUGAUGCACCUCCAUAGAGGGACGGGCUCAGCAUCAUGUUGCCUGUUUGGAUGGAAACAUCUGGGUUGACUGACAAGCCAAGCACCCACCUCCUGACCCAGCAGCAGCUCUCCAGCAAUGAGACCUGCUUCUCACCAGCUGCUCGGUGGCACUGGGGCUGGAUGCAACAAGGCAGCGGUGCAAGGAGAGGAGGGAGGAGCGGCGCUGGUGGAUGUACCAGGUACAGAGCCCCAGACAUAACACUAAUGAAUCUGUGGUGGGUGAAUCUGUGGUGGGCUCUGAGCCCUGUCUCCUCCAUCUGUGGUCAGUUCAGGAAUUUGGGUGCAUCAAAGUGGUUGUGCUGGGCCAGCAAUUGGCUCUAUGGCAGCUUUAGUGCAAUAAACCGUUGCUG
This is a long non-coding RNA of Gallus gallus (chicken), 960 nucleotides long. NCBI's taxonomy places the organism in Eukaryota, Metazoa, Chordata, Aves, Galliformes, Phasianidae. The record is from Ensembl.